This is a small nuclear RNA of Rhineura floridana, 162 nucleotides long. RefSeq annotates it as U1 spliceosomal RNA. The record is from RefSeq and is a predicted model, not a curated record. The transcript has a single exon. NCBI's taxonomy places the organism in Eukaryota, Metazoa, Chordata, Lepidosauria, Squamata, Rhineuridae.
AUAUUUAUCUGGCACAGGAAACACCACAUUCAUGAAGGUGAUUUUCCCAGGGUGAGGUUCAUCCAUUGAUUCCAGGUUUGCUGACCUUUGUGAUUUCCCCAAAUGUGGAAAGCUCAACUGCAACUUGAGGUACAAGAGAACAAGUAUUUCUACUUGGCUGUA